AGGAUACAGAGAUGCAAAUUUAUAUCGUGGAGGCAUCUUUAUCAAAUAUUCAGGCCUGAAUAGAUUAUGAGAACUCUUACAAUAUUGACAAUGAAUAUAUCUGUAGAAGACAUAUAAAUGCAAAAAAAAAUAUAAUUUAAACUUAUCAAAUAGUACUAAGUGAGGUUGCAGUACAAGUGCAAUGCAUUUGAAUAGAAGAGACUUCUAAUUGUAGACUGUAAUCACGGUUGUAUGUUAUUACUUAAUGAGAAGAGACUUCUCCAUGGAGGGCAUUCAAACCAAAUCCAUUGUUGACAAUCUUGGGUUCAAUACCAAAAGUAGUAAUCAGGAAAGAAACAUAUCACGAAUUCAUCCAUAAUUCACUUAAGAGGAAGUGAAAGCAGCUUGAUAAUUAUUAUAACCCUGAGUUAUAUAAACCUAUAUAGUUCACGGGAAAAGUCUUCAAAUAUAAACCUACAUGUGAUAGAUUAGGGCUCAUUCUUUUAAACCAACAUCAACCCCAUUAUUAACUUACUCUAGCAGUCUAGCACUGGAGGGUGGAUGUCCGAUAAUCGGCAACUGGAAAACGAAGAUUGCCGUCGGCGAUUUGAGAGAAAAUUGGUGGGAGGGAGAUUAGGGCUCGUUGCCGGCUUUGAGGCGGGAGUGAAGAAGUGAG
RNAcentral lists this long non-coding RNA (655 nucleotides) under Olea europaea subsp. europaea. The record is from RNAcentral. Lineage: Eukaryota; Viridiplantae; Streptophyta; Magnoliopsida; Lamiales; Oleaceae.